GGCCCUGGAGGGUAGAGAUGUGCAGGAGACAGUUGCUGGUAAAGAACCUCGAGACUUGGAUGAGAUUGCUCUCAGAGAUGCUCUGCGAUAUAUAUUGAGGUGUCUGGUGGAAAAAGCUGUAGCGUUGUGUGAUCUGCCACAGUUAGCAUCAUUGGAGGAGCUGGAACGUGCGUUUAGUGUGCUGCACACAGAACACACACGAGCUCUCGCACAUCACAAACACAGAAUAGACACACUGGAGGCUAGAGUGAGGGGACUGAACAAUACUCGCCCUACCUGUCAGGAGACUAGUCAGGUUGCUAGACAGCAACACACACCUCAGAGUCAGCCAUACCUGUUGUCACUGUCUCGGAUGGCACAGAAAGUGUCUCCUAUCAUCC
Molecule: long non-coding RNA, 380 nt
Organism: Macrosteles quadrilineatus (aster leafhopper)
Lineage: Eukaryota; Metazoa; Arthropoda; Insecta; Hemiptera; Cicadellidae
Exons: 3
Source: RefSeq, a predicted model, not a curated record